AUUGAACGCUGGCGGCAUGCUUUACACAUGCAAGUCGAACGGUAACAGGUUGAGCUGACGAGUGGCGAACGGGUGAGUAAUGCAUCGGAACGUGCCCGGUCGUGGGGGGAUAACGCAGCGAAAGCUGCGCUAAUACCGCAUAUUCUGUGAGCAGGAAAGCAGGGGAUCUUCGGACCUUGUGCUUUAGGAGCGGCCGAUGUCGGAUUAGCUAGUUGGUGAGGUAAAGGCUCACCAAGGCGACGAUCCGUAGCGGGUCUGAGAGGAUGAUCCGCCACACUGGGACUGAGACACGGCCCAGACUCCUACGGGAGGCAGCAGUGGGGAAUUUUGGACAAUGGGCGCAAGCCUGAUCCAGCCAUGCCGCGUGAGUGAAGAAGGCCUUCGGGUUGUAAGCUCUUUCGGUGGGGAAGGAAAGUUAGCUUCGGCUAAUAUCCGGAGUAGAUGACGGUACCCGCACUAAGAAGCACCGGCUAACUACGUGCCAGCACG
This 489-nucleotide ribosomal RNA is filed under the name uncultured bacterium. RNAcentral describes it as "bacterial SSU rRNA". It matches the Rfam family "Bacterial small subunit ribosomal RNA", at positions 30 to 515 of the family's 1533-position model. The record is from RNAcentral.